This 405-nucleotide ribosomal RNA is filed under the name uncultured bacterium. RNAcentral describes it as "bacterial SSU rRNA". It matches the Rfam family "Bacterial small subunit ribosomal RNA", at positions 355 to 775 of the family's 1533-position model. The record is from RNAcentral.
UCGAGGAUCUUCGGCAAUGGGCGCAAGCCUGACCGAGCGACGCCGCGUGGAGGAUGAAGGCCUUCGGGUUGUAAACUCCUUUUGUGGGGGAGGAAAUCUCUGACCUAUCCCAUGAAUAAGCACGGGCUAAGUUCGUGCCAGCAGCCGCGGUAAGACGAACCGUGCGAACGUUGUUCGGAAUCACUGGGCUUAAAGGGCGCGUAGGUGGCUAGCCAAGUCGGGGGUGAAAUCUUUCGGCUCAACCGGAAAAUUGCCCCCGAUACUGGAGAGCUCGAGGGAGAUAGAGGCGACGGGAACUACCAGUGGAGCGGUGAAAUGCGUUGAUAUUGGUAGGAACGCCAGAGCCGAAGGGGCGUCGCUGGAUCUCUUCUGACACUGAGGCGCGAAAGCCAGGGGAGCAAACGG